GUGGCGAACGGGUGAGUAACACGUGGGUAAUCUGCCCUGUACUCUGGGAUAAGCCUGGGAAACUGGGUCUAAUACCGGAUAUGACCUUUCACCGCAUGGUGGGGGGUGGAAAGUUCCGGCGGUAUGGGAUGAACCCGCGGCCUAUCAGCUUGUUGGUGGGGUAAUGGCCUACCAAGGCGACGACGGGUAGCCGGCCUGAGAGGGUGACCGGCCACACUGGGACUGAGACACGGCCCAGACUCCUACGGGAGGCAGCAGUGGGGAAUAUUGCACAAUGGGCGCAAGCCUGAUGCAGCGACGCCGCGUGAGGGAUGACGGCCUUCGGGUUGUAAACCUCUUUCGCCAGGGACGAAGCGCGAGUGACGGUACCUGGAUAAGAAGCACCGGCUAACUACGUGCCAGCAGCCGCGGUAAUACGUAGGGUGCGAGCGUUGUUCGGAAUUAUUGGGCGUAAAGAGCUCGUAGGCGGUUUGUCGCGUCUGCUGUGAAAACUGGGGGCUCAACCCCCAGCCUGCGGUGGGUACGGGCAGACUAGAGUGCGGUAGGGGAGACUGGAAUUCCUGGUGUAGCGGUGAAAUGCGCAGAUAUCAGGAGGAACACCGGUGGCGAAGGCGGGUCUCUGGGCCGAUACUGACGCUGAGGAGCGAAAGC
RNAcentral lists this ribosomal RNA (651 nucleotides) under uncultured Amycolatopsis sp. Its description in RNAcentral is "bacterial SSU rRNA". It matches the Rfam family "Bacterial small subunit ribosomal RNA", at positions 95 to 760 of the family's 1533-position model. Lineage: Bacteria; Bacillati; Actinomycetota; Actinomycetes; Pseudonocardiales; Pseudonocardiaceae. The record is from RNAcentral.